Anopheles gambiae (African malaria mosquito) is the source of this 1359-nucleotide long non-coding RNA. RefSeq lists it as uncharacterized. The transcript has 2 exons. Lineage: Eukaryota; Metazoa; Arthropoda; Insecta; Diptera; Culicidae. The record is from RefSeq and is a predicted model, not a curated record.
UUGCUAGAUUGCGGGAACACAUCUGUAAGGAGAGAGAGAGAGAGAUUGGAAAGGAACCGAAUUAAUCAUGUAUUCAACCAUCCGUAGCAUCGACAACAGUAACCGGAUAUCCCCAAAAAAGCUGUUCCCCAUUUGCUGUUUGGCGAAGAACAUGCAAAUAAUCUGUUUUUGUUUGCUAGGCCCGAAAAUCGCUCGGUACAAUAUUGCUUUCAGUUUUGUAAAAGCUAUACGAAAACAAAAAGAUGUAGGCACACUACACGACAUACACGACCUCCGGCCAAGAUCAAAACAAACCGCCAACCGAUCGAAUGUCAAAGCGAUAUUUGCACUGGCCGUAAUCAAUAGGGAUUGGCACACAACGUGCCGACGUAACCGAUGCUUCCCACACGCGAACAAUUUAGUAAAAUAUGGUCGUUGAUCAACUGGUGGCCGAGCGAUUGUCCGAACGACAGCGAUGCUGCCGCAUCCGCCAUCACAACCCGUGUGCAAUUCCCAGGACCUCCCAGCAAGGGUUUCCAGAAUGCAAAUUCAUUGUCUCCAUGGAUACGACGACGGCGGUGGUCGAACGGCAGCACUGAUCGUGGGUAAACGGUUGACAAACGGUGUUGCCACCGUGCGAGAAGUAGUAUCACAGGCAAGUUUUGUUGAUGCAUGAUCGAUACGUGCCAUUCUUAGCUGCUGUUUUGCUGACUUCCAUUAAGUUAUGAGUCGAAGAUCACUCUACUUACAUGAUGACAGUGGAAUGCUGUAUGUGCCACACACAUACGCACACACACUCUGCUGUCUUACUCUCGCCUGUGCUCCAGCCCUUUCUGGGUGACUGCCCACAUCUCAUCCUCGCCUUGCCGCUCAGCCAAAGACGGAUGUGCGCCAAGCUGUCUGACAGUGCACCCGAAGAAGUAUAUCGGUGUGGCGGCGAUCGCUCGCGCCAAAGUGUUGCUGCCCGCUGCCGCUGGUGAUCCGAGGGCAAUUAAUUUGCCUCACCGCCUCGGGAUCGCGAUUGCGCUAAAUGAAAAUAAAUCACGCAUGCAGCGGCAAAAGGAGGCCAGCCGCUUCUACACUGGCGUGGUGGCUGUGGCGCACCCGACGCCAGCCUACCGCACUUUGGCAGCUGACAUCAAUUGGCGCGUGGUAGCAGAUUAAAACAACACGCUCGAUUGUGCACGAGUUUAGAAUGUGUUAAAAGAGUGGACGUUCGUUAAAAAACGUUGAAACGCAUUUCCGUUUAAAAACAAACAUGUAAUAAUAAUUAAAAACCGUUAAGGUCAUUACGCCAAAAAUUAACAUCACGAAUUGUAAUGCAGAUACUCCUGUAAGUAAAAUAAUGGUUACAAAAAAAAUUAUGCAAUUUCUCACAAA